AUGUCCUCCCCGUCCCCAUAGAACCGAUGCAGUGCGCAUGCUCAGAUCUGCUCCUGUGGUACGGAAUAAGUCACAGCAAAGCGCCAUCUUCAGGUUUUACACAGGACAACAAUUGCAAGCUAUUUCACCAUCCAUGUCUUGACCUAAAAUGAAAAUGAUUCUCUGCGAAUGAUAAUGCUUUAACAUUUCAUUAUACUUUAUAAUGAUUUAUGCUGUUUUUGUGUAAGGAUCAAAUGAUCUUCAAACAGCUGUCUGCAUUUGUCUUUUAUUCUUUGUCUAUCUGUAAAUGAUGUUUAACAACAGCCAAAGUAAUUCAAAACAAAUAGAUAUUCAUGGACGAAUAAUUACAGAUUAAACUUUUAUAAUAUUUGGUGUAACUUUGUGACGUACAUAAACCAAGGAGCCCAACAAGAAUGAAAUAUUUCUAAAAUCAAUUCUAAUAAUCCACCCAAAAUAUGAAUACAGGACCCCUUGUUUAUUUUUGAGUUGUUCCCACAUUACUGUUAAUUGGUUUUCCUGCACUUGAAGCUAAUUUUGUGUGGCUAGAUUUCCUUUGUUUUAUUCAGUUAUUAUUGUCAAUCUAUAGCAAAUGGUUUCUGUGCUAUUUUGUAAUUACUAAAAUAAUUUAUUAAUAAUUAAUUACAAAACAAAUCAAAUUGAUUUUACAAUCACAUUGCACUUGUCCAGCUGAUUAAUGUUUUUCAAGGACCGUAACAUUAUUUGAUUCCUUGGUUGCUCUCAAAGUCAGUGUAACGGUGUAUUGUUGUUCCAGUUAAAUACAUCAGUGUGGUUACCAUGUAUAUAAUUCAGUCAGCAGAUGUCACCAGAAGUCUCUCAUUUUGACUGGACUUGCGUCAUUGUUGCUUUAUGACUCCUGCUUCGCUUGGUUGAGUAAAUUCUGUCUCGCAGGACGGUUUUAUGGUGGGAAUCAGUCUGGGUAGAAAUAUGGCUUUCAAUGAUAGUCAUAUUUCCUAUAUGAUUUCUUUUAUGUUCAGAUGUAAUGUUUAUCCUCCUACAAAAGCUUAAACGUCCGCACACUUACUCAACUCACUACUAUUACUCAGAAGAAAGUAACCCUGAACCUCUUAGAAUUGGAAAAAGAGAAGCAGCCCGAAUGUUCUUUUGAAACGGAUGACUAGGCUGUUUAAUCUAGCGUAGGGACAUGAAGCUGCGAUGACAGUUUGCUUCAGAAGUGUCACUUCUCUUCAAACCCAAAGAGAAAAAAAAGGGAACUGGCACUGAUGGAGGGGACAGAUAGCGACGGUGGUGGCAGCUGGAUGAAGCUAACACCCUGUUCUGCUCUGAGGGCAGCUCAGCGUGACCAAGUCCCUGAAAUGUGGGCGAAGAACAUCCACACUCUCAUGACACACACAGCCCACUGCAGCCACUGAGUGGGGAGGCUCGACCUGUUACCGUGUGACAAACUUUUCCAACAGACACUCAGUUCAAAAAUUCCAACAAACUCAAUUUGACUGUGACUGUAAAAUGUGUCAUUACAUGUAAAUUGUGUUGAAUUUACUGGCAUUACCAUGUAUUUUGUGGCUGAAUUGAAUGAUUUUUGAACAUU
Molecule: long non-coding RNA, 1567 nt
Organism: Trematomus bernacchii (emerald rockcod)
Lineage: Eukaryota; Metazoa; Chordata; Actinopteri; Perciformes; Nototheniidae
Exons: 2
Source: RefSeq, a predicted model, not a curated record